UCCUCUGCGGCGGCGGCGGUGGCUGCUGCGGGAGCCGUGAUCACCCCAUCGAAGUCAUCCCACCCGCCCUUCUCCGCUGCCUACCGCCUCCCCUUCCCCCUCCCCAAGCCCCUCCAUUCACUCUCCACCCGCCACCCCCACGUCCGGCCCAUCUCCGCCUCCGCGGACCGCCGCCAGCUCCCCUCCGCUGCCGCCCCCACUGCCGAUGCCACGACCGCCCCUCUCCUCCGUAACUUCGCCCCGGAUGAGCCCCGCAAAGGCGCCGACAUCCUAGUCGAGGCCCUUGAGCGGGAGGGCGUCACCGACCUUUUCGCCUACCCCGGCGGCGCCUCCAUGGAGAUCCAUCAGGCUCUCACCCGCUCGCCAUCUAUCACCAACCACCUCCUCCGGCACGAGCAGGGGGAGGUCUUCGCUGCCUCUGGAUACGCCCGCUCCACUGGUCGCCCUGGCGUGUGCAUCGCCACCUCCGGCCCUGGCGCCACCAAUCUCGUCUCCGGUCUCGCCGAUGCCCUCCUUGACUCCGUCCCUCUCGUCGCCAUCACCGGCCAGGUCCCUCGCCGCAUGAUCGGCACCGACGCUUUCCAGGAGACCCCCAUCGUUGAGGUCACCAGAUCCAUCACCAAGCAC
RNAcentral lists this long non-coding RNA (627 nucleotides) under Musa acuminata (dwarf banana). Its description in RNAcentral is "long non-coding RNA (MACU_LNC003209)". Lineage: Eukaryota; Viridiplantae; Streptophyta; Magnoliopsida; Zingiberales; Musaceae. The record is from RNAcentral.